This 320-nucleotide ribosomal RNA is filed under the name Caldanaerobacter subterraneus. Its description in RNAcentral is "partial 23S ribosomal RNA". It matches the Rfam family "Bacterial large subunit ribosomal RNA", at positions 1 to 321 of the family's 2925-position model. Lineage: Bacteria; Bacillati; Bacillota; Clostridia; Thermoanaerobacterales; Thermoanaerobacteraceae. The record is from RNAcentral.
GGUCAAGAGAGGUAAGGGCGCAUGGUGGAUGCCAUAGGCACCUGGAGCCGAAGAAGGACGCGGCAAGCGGCGAAACGCCCCGGGGAGCCGCAAGCGGGCAGAGAUCCGGGGAUUUCCGAAUGGGGGAACCCGCUUGGGGUAAUACCCAAGCAUCCGCUGAUGAAUCCAUAGUCAGCGGAGGGGAACCGGGCGAACUGAAACAUCUAAGUAGCCCGAGGAAAAGAAAGCAAAAGCGAUUCCCCGAGUAGCGGCGAGCGAAAGGGGAGAAGCCCAAACCUACCGCUUAGGCGGUAGGGGUUCGGGCCCACCGAAAGGUGUGU